RNAcentral lists this non-coding RNA (32 nucleotides) under Rattus norvegicus (Norway rat). Lineage: Eukaryota; Metazoa; Chordata; Mammalia; Rodentia; Muridae. The record is from RNAcentral.
UGACACGUGUCAAGACUAGAUGCUACUGCCAU